UGUGGAUGUCCUUCUAGGCCCCCAGUCAGACUGUAACUGUAAUAUGUGGAUGUCCUUCUAGGUCCCCAGUCAGACUGUAACUGUAAUAUGUGGAUGUCCUUCUAGGCCCCCAGUCAGACUGUAACUGUAAUAUGUGGAUGUCCUUCUAGGUCCCCAGACAGA
Long non-coding RNA from Oncorhynchus keta (chum salmon), 162 nucleotides. RefSeq lists it as uncharacterized. The transcript has 3 exons. NCBI's taxonomy places the organism in Eukaryota, Metazoa, Chordata, Actinopteri, Salmoniformes, Salmonidae. The record is from RefSeq and is a predicted model, not a curated record.